Molecule: ribosomal RNA, 689 nt
Filed under: Brigantiaea sorediata
Lineage: Eukaryota; Fungi; Ascomycota; Lecanoromycetes; Teloschistales; Brigantiaeaceae
Description: mitochondrial SSU rRNA
Rfam family: Bacterial small subunit ribosomal RNA
Source: RNAcentral
AUAGCCUAACGGCUGAACCAGCAACUUGGAGGAAUGUAUAGCAAUAGCUAGUUGUGCUAAAAUUUUUAGCGCAAAAUCGACUAUGUCGAAUAAAAUUCUAGGUAUAACUAUGAUAAUGACAUUAUCUAUCUAUAAGUCUUGACCAAAUUACGUGCCAGCAGUCGCGGUAAUACGUAAAAGACUAGUGUUAUUCAUCUUUAAUAGGUUUAAAGGGUACUUAGACGGUAAAUAAAGCCUGAGAGGGGACUCAUUUGCUAGAGUUAAAUAUGAGGGAGUUUGAAAGUACUUUUGGUGUAGAGAUGAAAUUUUGUGAUACCAUUAUGGCACAGGUUUAGGCGAAAGCAUCUUCUUAUGUAAUAACUGACGUUGAAGGACGAAGGCUUUGUGUCUCGAACAGGAUUAGAUACCCUAGUAGUCUAAGCAGACAAUGAUGAAUGUCAUAGAUUAGAUUUAAUUUAGUCUAUAAAUGAAAGUGUAAGCAUUCCACCUCAAGAGUAAUUUGGCAACAUUGGAACUGAAAUCAUUAGACCGUUUCUGAAACCAGUAGUGAAGUAUGUUGUUUAAUUUGAUAAUCCGCAAAAAACCUUACCACAAUUUGAAUAUAUAUAAUAUAAUACAAGCGUUGCACGGCUGUCUUCAGUUAAUGUCGUGAGACUUUGGUUAGUUCCAUUAAAUUAACGUAAACCCUU